ACGGGUUCAGCUCAACCCCCCGGAGCUGAACUCUCGCGACCCCCGCCCCUCCCCCCGGCGGGGGUCGUCCCCU
Molecule: non-coding RNA, 73 nt
Filed under: Actinoalloteichus fjordicus
Lineage: Bacteria; Bacillati; Actinomycetota; Actinomycetes; Pseudonocardiales; Pseudonocardiaceae
Description: 6C RNA
Rfam family: 6C RNA
Source: RNAcentral